RNAcentral lists this long non-coding RNA (948 nucleotides) under Homo sapiens (human). RNAcentral's name for it is "HSALNT0087174". The record is from RNAcentral. Lineage: Eukaryota; Metazoa; Chordata; Mammalia; Primates; Hominidae.
AAUUGGAACCCAUAAACUAGAUGUUAACAUUAAUUAAUUUAUUAAUUAAGGUAUUUGAGGGAAGAGGAGAGUUUAAAAGUCCCAAAUGAAUGUAUUCUCUAUGGCACAUUUUUAUAUCACAGUCUUCUGAAAUGCCUGCAGAAAGAAAUGAGUCUUAGUUGCUGUAGGUCCUGAGAUGGGCAGAGAUUAUGAGAGCGAGCAUCACAUAGACUUGGUGCUAUGGACAGAAUUGUGUUCCCCAAAAUUCAUGAUAAUUUCGUUUAGCUAAUCCACAAGGUGAUGGUAUUUAGAGAUGGGGCCUUUGGGAGACAAUUGUGUUUAGAUGAGGUUAUGAGGGUUGGGCUUUCAUAAUGGGAUUAGUGCCCUUAUGAGAAGGGGAAGAGAUAUUAUGUCUCUCUCAUUCUCUACCCUUCUCCAUCUCUCACUUUCUCCCCCUUUCUGUCUCUCCCUCUUUCUCUGUGCCAUGUGAGAACACAGCUACAACAUGGCGAUCAGCAAGACAGGAAGACAGCCCUCACCAGGAGCUGAAUCACUGGCGCUUUGAUCUUGCACUUCCAGAUCCUGGGCAAGACUCACCAGGGCAGACUUCUGUAGCUGCCUGGAAUUGUCUGAUCUGGAAUUAAUGCCCUGGAAUGCUGUGGUUGUUAACUCAGAAGGCACAAAGCUAAGAAUCUUCCUCUGGUCCUCUUUAAUCUGCCCCCACUCCUUGUUAUUUGUCUUAUUUUGAUUUUCAAGUAAGGAAUUUAUUUUCCCAGUUAACAUAACCAACCAGCCCAUGCCACAGUAUAUUAAACCAAGAAGUACAAAUCCAAGAAAGGUAACGUCUUUAUUGGGUUGCAAAACUUUGGGAAAUCAAUGUAGUACUUUUUAUUACAAUAAAAGCAUAUUUUUAUUAGAGACAUAUAUUAUUCUAGUGAUAAUUUUCGCUCCAAAUAUAUUUAAGUACUA